GGGAAUAGGCCAUCUUUUUAUUUUUAAAAGACCUUUUUCGGAAGGUAUGCUUAAAGAGGGGCUUGCGUCACAUUAGUUAGUUGGCAGGGUAAAGGCCUACCAAGACUAUGAUGUGUAGCUGGACUGAGAGGUUGAACAGCCACAUUGGGACUGAGACACGGCCCAAACUCCUACGGGAGGCAGCAGUAGGGAAUUUUCGGCAAUGGAGGAAACUCUGACCGAGCAACGCCGCGUGAACGAUGAAGUAUUUCGGUAUGUAAAGUUCUUUUAUUGAAGAAGAAAAAAUAGUGGAAAAACUAUCUUGACGAUAUUCAAUGAAUAAGCCCCGGCAAACUAUGUGCCAGCAGCCGCGGUAAUACAUAGGGGGCGAGCGUUAUCCGGAAUUAUUGGGCGUAAAGGGUGCGUAGGCGGUUUAAUAAGUCUAUAGUUUAAUUUCAGUGCUUAACACUGUCCUGCUAUAGAAACUAUUAGACUAGAGUGAGAUAGAGGCAAGUGGAAUUCCAUGUGUAGCGGUAAAAUGCGUAAAUAUAUGGAGGAACACCAGAGGCGUAGGCGGCUUGCUGGGUCUUUACUGACGCUGAGGCACGAAAGCGUGGGGAGCAAACAGGAUUAGAUACCCUGGUAGUCCACGCCGUAAACGAUGAGUACUAAGUGUCGGGAUUACUCGGUACUGAAGUUAACACAUUAAGUACUCCGCCCUGAGUAGUACGUACGCAAGUAUGAAACUUAAAGGAAUUGACGGGACUCCGCACAAGCGGGUGGAUCCAUGUUGUUUUAAUUCAAAAGAUACACGAAAAACCUUACCAGGUCUUGACAUACUCUGCAAAGCUAUAGCAAUAUAGUGGAGGUUAUCAGAGAUACAGGUGGUGCAUGGUUGUCGUCAGCUCGUGUCGUGAGAUGUUAGGUUAAGUCCUAAAACGAGCGCAACCCUUGUCAUUAGUUGCCAGCAUGUCAUGAUGGGCACUUUAAUGAGACUGCCAAUGAAAAAUUGGAGGAAGGUGAGGAUCACGUCAAAUCAUCAUGCCCCUUAUGAUCUGGGCUACAAACGUGAUACAAUGGCUGUUACAAAGAGUAGCUGAAACGCAAGUUUAUAGCCAAUCUCAUAAAAGCAGUCUCAGUUCGGAUUGAAGUCUGCAACUCUGACUUCAUGAAGUUGGAAUCGCUAGUAAUCGCGAAUCAGCAUUCGCCGGAAUUCUUAUUUUU
RNAcentral lists this ribosomal RNA (1203 nucleotides) under Sugarcane phytoplasma (uncharacterized). RNAcentral describes it as "bacterial SSU rRNA". It matches the Rfam family "Bacterial small subunit ribosomal RNA", at positions 162 to 1375 of the family's 1533-position model. The record is from RNAcentral. Lineage: Bacteria; Bacillati; Mycoplasmatota; Mollicutes; Acholeplasmatales; Acholeplasmataceae.